GCUGGGCAUGGUGGUACACGCCUGUAAUCCCGGCUACUCAGGAGGCUGAGGCAGGAGAAUUGCUUGAGCCCAGGAGGCCGAGGUUGCAGUGAGCCAAGAUCAUGCCACUGCACUCCAGCCUGGGCAACAGAGUGAGACUCCGCCUCAA
Molecule: unclassified non-coding RNA, 148 nt
Organism: Pongo abelii (Sumatran orangutan)
Lineage: Eukaryota; Metazoa; Chordata; Mammalia; Primates; Hominidae
Rfam family: Metazoan signal recognition particle RNA
About the family: The signal recognition particle (SRP) is a universally conserved ribonucleoprotein.
Source: Ensembl